AUUGAACGCUGGCGGAAGGCCUAACACAUGCAAGUCGAGCGGAUGAAGGGAGCUUAAUACUGGAUUCAGCGGCGGACGGGUGAGUAAUGCCUAGGAAUCUGCCUGGUAGUGGGGGAUAACGUCCGGAAACGGGCGCUAAUACCGCAUACGUCCUGAGGGAGAAAGUGGGGGAUCUUCGGACCUCACGCUAUCAGAUGAGCCUAGGUCGGAUUAGCUAGUUGGUGGGGUAAAGGCCUACCAAGGCGACGAUCCGUAACUGGUCUGAGAGGAUGAUCAGUCACACUGGAACUGAGACACGGUCCAGACUCCUACGGGAGGCAGCAGUGGGGAAUAUUGGACAAUGGGCGAAAGCCUGAUCCAGCCAUGCCGCGUGUGUGAAGAAGGUCUUCGGAUUGUAAAGCACUUUAAGUUGGGAGGAAGGGCAGUAAGUUAAUACCUUGCUGUUUUGACGUUACCAACAGAAUAAGCACCGGCUAACUUCGUG
This 484-nucleotide ribosomal RNA is filed under the name uncultured bacterium. RNAcentral's name for it is "partial 16S ribosomal RNA". It matches the Rfam family "Bacterial small subunit ribosomal RNA", at positions 30 to 507 of the family's 1533-position model. The record is from RNAcentral.